Molecule: transfer-messenger RNA, 399 nt
Filed under: Dysgonamonadaceae bacterium
Lineage: Bacteria; Pseudomonadati; Bacteroidota; Bacteroidia; Bacteroidales; Dysgonomonadaceae
Rfam family: transfer-messenger RNA
About the family: Bacterial tmRNA, also known as 10Sa RNA or SsrA, is named for its dual tRNA and mRNA-like properties.
Source: RNAcentral
GGGGUUGACCGGUAUUGACAGCGGGUAGAAGUGGUUUGUAAGCAUGCAGUGCGUUGUCGGUUGGCACUAUAAUCUCAAACGUCAAAACAAUAACUGGCAAUAACAAUUACGCUCUUGCUGCUUGAUCGAAGUAUAGUAGAUCCUUAGCUUAAUCUCGGCACAGGUGCCGAGACAAGACAUCGCCCGGAAGCUGUGGCUUCGAAGCGUUCCGAUAUGGCGGUGCAGGUAAAUCGGAGAUAGGGCGGAAGAGGCUUCGGCUUCCGUCCGAAACUAAGAAGAUAAGGUAGAGGUUGGUGGCUUCGGUCUUGCCUUUACCCGACAACCAAGGCGAAGAUAAGCAUGUAGAAAGCAGGUUCCUUCCUCGUUUGGACGAGGGUUCGAGUCCCUCCAACUCCACAA